UUGACUCGGGGUGAAACUCCAACAGUCUGCCUUCAGCUCCUGUUUUAGCUGUCACGGUGUCUCACAUAAGGGCAUUCUAGGCCCUACUGACUUCUUAAGUAGCUUCCGUAGUUUGUUUUCCAGAAGCUUCUUUUUGAGCUUGGUAUGUGAAAAUUAAUUGGGGGAUUUGCAGUUUACAGAUGUGUUCAGGCCUGUCGAAGCAGGCGGUCACAGGACGCGGUUCCUGGGAGGACGCCCAGCUGUUGCAGUCCCUGCUCCAUCUUUGAGGGGCCCAGACGAGGCAUGGGUGCUGGGAACGCAGUGAGGGGUGUCACUCGCUGAGGCUGGUCCAGGCCGGCGUGUGAGCGGAGGCCCCAGUGUGACCCGCACGCCUGUCAGAUGGGCCGGAUGUGGGGGCCUGUGACAGUGCUGUUGCCUGACUGAGCGUGUGCGUCAGCCUCUCCCGUGUGUCCUGCCCCCGAGGGACCCUGAAGGGAGGGGCCCACAUGCCCCACGCCCCCCACAUGCCUGCUGGGCGCCUGGUGCCCAACAGGAGGUGCAGCUCCAGGUCCCAUCAUCCGGGCAGGCUUGUCAGGGCGCCGCUCAGGUGUGUCCCCAGGCUGGGGAGACAGCCGUAAAUACCCUCCUCUUCUCUGGUCUUAGCAGCCCUUGGAAGUGCAGCGUUAGGUGAAAAAGUAUUUCCUAAUCAGAGGCACAAAAUUUCAGUUUCCAAGGAAUCAGAAAUACCUGUUCACAACGUUAUAAGAUAAAGGAGACGCGUGGUUUCUUUUUCCCUUGACUUAAUUUCACAGCUUUUAUUUCAGGAUUGAGCUGUUGUCCAAGAGCACUAUUUCUAUUUCCGGCUUCAUUAGAAAAGUACAAGGGAGUGACAGCAUAUGCUUUUGUCCCGUUGGGAGAAGACGGGCCUCUGAGUGAAAGCAAAGUUACCUAACAUCUCGUGUGUUUCAGGUGCUGAAUAUGUUGAAUCCAGUUCAGAUAGAAGAUCUAAGUAAUUCUGGGGUGUGUUGUCCACAAAACUGGUCUGAGUGUGACCCCCACCCAGCUGCUUUGUGCCUGUGGCUCGUCUCCCCCGGGAGCCUCAGCGACACUUGACCCCGAGGCCCCCUUGCCGGCAGCGCAGACAGAGGAGUGCUCUGGGUGGGCAGGUGGUCUGCAGGCUCCUCCGGGAGCGGCUGUGGUGCUGCCCACCCUGCGUCCUGUACUUGCAGAGGUGCCACGGACCUGUGCCCCAGAUUCCCCUCCCGCAGCCCCACAGGACCGUGCAUUCAGCCAG
Bos taurus (domestic cattle) is the source of this 1273-nucleotide long non-coding RNA. NCBI's taxonomy places the organism in Eukaryota, Metazoa, Chordata, Mammalia, Artiodactyla, Bovidae. The record is from Ensembl.